AACGAACGCUGGCGGCAUGCCUAACACAUGCAAGUCGAACGAGACCUUCGGGUCUAGUGGCGCACGGGUGCGUAACGCGUGGGAACCUGCCCUUAGGUUCGGAAUAACUCCCCGAAAGGGGUGCUUAUUACGGGUUAUGUUCUCCGGCCAAAGAUUUAUCGCCUUUGGAUGGGCCCGCGUUGGAUUAGCUAGUUGGUAGGGUAAAAGCCUACCAAGGCGACGAUCCAUAGCUGGUCUGAGAGGAUGAUCAGCCACACUGGGACUGAGACACGGCCCAGACUCCUACGGGAGGCAGCAGUGGGGAAUAUUGGACAAUGGGCGAAAGCCUGAUCCAGCAAUGCCGCGUGAGUGAUGAAGGCCUUAGGGUUGUAAAGCUCUUUUACCCGGGAUGAUAAUGACAGUACCGGGAGAAUAAGCUCCGGCUAACUCCGUG
Molecule: ribosomal RNA, 433 nt
Filed under: uncultured bacterium
Lineage: Bacteria
Description: partial 16S ribosomal RNA
Rfam family: Bacterial small subunit ribosomal RNA
Source: RNAcentral